AUGAUGCUUCACUGCUGUCUGCUGGUGUUGUCUGUAACACAAUAUACACUGGCACAGUCAAUAGGACCACUGCAGAGCGAUGUUCAUAUCACUGAGAGGACUCCAGUCAGGCUCUCAUGCAAAUAUGAUGGCAGUGCAUACAGUCUGCAUUGGUAUCGACAGUAUCCUGGAUCAAAACCUGAAUUUCUGCUUCUUGUAAGGGAAUCAGCCAAAAAAUCCGUAACAUAUGCAGAUCCAAAAAUUCCUGGAAUGGAUGGAGAAAUGAGCAUGAGUGAAAAACGAGUGGAUCUAGAGAUCUCCUCUGCUGCAGUAUCAGACUCUGCUGUGUAUUACUGUGCCCUGGAGUACAGCAGCUCCAAACCACAGUUUCUGUAUUUGGUUAGUGAAGCCAAGCUUGAACAACUGGCUGAUCCUCCAAUUCCUGGAUCGUCUGCUAAAUUAAAUGAGGAGAAUAACCGUGUGGAUCUGGAGAUCUCCUCUGCUACAGUAUCAGACUCUGCUGUGUAUAUUACUGUGCUCUGA
Molecule: non-coding RNA, 522 nt
Organism: Danio aesculapii
Lineage: Eukaryota; Metazoa; Chordata; Actinopteri; Cypriniformes; Danionidae
Source: the annotation of a RefSeq genome assembly